Molecule: long non-coding RNA, 1305 nt
Organism: Branchiostoma floridae (Florida lancelet)
Lineage: Eukaryota; Metazoa; Chordata; Leptocardii; Amphioxiformes; Branchiostomatidae
Exons: 2
Source: RefSeq, a predicted model, not a curated record
UCUUACAAAUACAGGGCACAGAUAUGGUAGAUUUUUCUUUAGGACACUUUCCUGCAUCACCUGGGACCCUGUUUACAAUGUGGCCUUGCAUUUCUAAGCUCCAAAGUGCAACCAAAGCCGAAGUCAAGCUUGGAACAUUAUCUAUUCAGGCGUGGAAACCAGUUGGACCAAAGAGGAUGCCCCCAUCUCAACUUUGGAAAAGCUUUCAACAAGAACAAGUGACAUGUAUUAUGAUUAUGAUACCAUCACCAACAACAUUACAGCAGUAAUGGUGCUGUUUUAGAAGGACAAUAAUUAAGUUAUUAGUAUGCUCAGUAUCAGGAAAAUGGAUUUUUAUAAGCAAGCAUCAUAUGUAAUCUAAAUCUGUUGGUAUCUGCAAUAAUGUUGCAAUCUUUAAAAUAAUGGUUCAUAGGAAAAAAAUGCCCCAAAAUCUGGUAUGAAACUUAUUGAUGGAAAUGAGUAUGAUUGGAAAUAUAUUUACAACUAUAUAUAAACAGCAACAUUGACCAGUUCGUGAUACAAGAACCUCAAUCAUACUUUAAGAAAUGGUUUCUAUGUUUGUAGGUGUAAGAAAUUCAGUCUUGAACUUAAAGAUAGCAAGAUGUUGCUAAUACAAAAAGUUCAAUAUUACACAGCAAAGUAGUACCCUAGGUCGGCUAGGUGUACGAAAUUUGGUCUUGGUGUAUAAGAGUAUAUUAAUCUCAGAUGUAAGAGAAUAUCUUUAGGCAAUAAGAAGUGUGCUUUUGAUUUAAGAAAGUUACUCUUGUUGUAAGAACAAUUAAGAAAAUAUUUCUAGCAAUAAGAAGUGUGCUCUUGAUGUAAGAAAGCUAUUCCUGAUAUAAGAAAUUUAAUCUUGGUAUAAGAACACCAAUCUUGAAAGUAAGAAAAUAUUUCUGGGAAUAAGAAUUGUGCUCUUGCUGUAAGAAAGUGACUCUUGCCAUAAGAAAUUUAGUCUUGGUAUAAGAACACCAAUCUUGAAAGUAAGAAUAUAUUACUAGCCAAUAAGAAUUGUUGUCUUGAUGUAAGAAAGUUAUUCUUAAUAUAAGAAAUUUAAUCUUGGUAUAAGAACACAAUCUUAAAAGUAAGAAAAUAUUUCUAGCCAAUAAGAAUUGUGCUCUUGAUGUAAGAAAGUUAUUCUUGUUAUAAGAAAUUUAAUCUUGGUUUUAAGAAUGCCAAUCUUGAAAAUAAGAAAUAUUUCUAGGCAAUUAGAAUUGUGCACUUGUAGUAAGAAAGGUAUUCUUGUUGUAAGAAUAGCAUUCUUGGAAAUAAGAAAUGUAUCUAGGCAAUAAAGAAUUUUACUCUUGA